This 246-nucleotide ribosomal RNA is filed under the name Diversispora epigaea. Lineage: Eukaryota; Fungi; Glomeromycota; Glomeromycetes; Diversisporales; Diversisporaceae. The record is from RNAcentral.
CAGUCGCGUUGGUUGGGAAUCAGUCUUGCUUCUGCAUGAUGUACUUCCUAGUCAAUGGGUCAACAUCAGUUUUGAUCACUGGAGAAAGGCUAGUUGAAUGUGGCAUCCUCGGAUGUGUUAUAGCUUCUAGUCAUAUACAGUGGUUGGGACUGAGGAACUCAGCACGCCGCAAGGCCCGGGUUUUUAACCACGUACGUGCUUAGGAUGUUGGCAUAAUGGCUUUAAGCGACCCGUCUUGAAACACGG